CCUACGGGAGGCUGCAGUCGGGAAUAUUGCGCAAUGGAGGAAACUCUGACGCAGUGACGCCGCGUGCAGGAAGAAGGUUUUCGGAUUGUAAACUGCUGUAGUAAGGGAAGAAACAAUGCAGUACCUGUUAAAUAAGCUCCGGCUAACUACGGGCCAGCAGCCGCGGUAAGACGUAGGGCGCAAGCGUUAUCCGGAUUUAUUGGGUGUAAAGGGUGCGUAGACGGGAAGUCAAGUUGGUUGUGAAAUCCCUCGGCUUAAAUGAGGAACUGCAACCAAAACUAACUGUCUUGAGUGAGGGAGAGGAAAGCGGAAUUCCUAGUGUAGCGGUGAAAUGCGUAGAUAUUAGGAGGAACACCAGUGGCGAAGGCGACUUACUGGACAGUAACUGACGUUGAGGCACGAAAGUGUGGGGAGCAAACAGGAUUAGAUACCCGGGUAGUC
RNAcentral lists this ribosomal RNA (441 nucleotides) under uncultured bacterium. RNAcentral describes it as "partial 16S ribosomal RNA". It matches the Rfam family "Bacterial small subunit ribosomal RNA", at positions 338 to 795 of the family's 1533-position model. The record is from RNAcentral.